CUCGCCUGUUUAUCAAAAACAUAGCUUGUUGAUUUUUAUAAUAAGUAUUUUCUGCCCAGUGUUGUUAGAAAUGAAUGGCCGCGGUAACCUGACCGUGCGAAGGUAGCAUAAUAAUUUGCCCUUUAAUUGGGGGCUGGUAUGAAUGAAAGUUUGAGGCUUUCCCUAUCUUUUUUGAGUUUAAAAUUUGCUGUUUUUGUGAAGAAGCAAAAGUUUUUUAAAAAGACAAGAAGACCCUUUUAAGCUUGACUAUUUAUUUUAGUUGGCGCUAAUCUUAAAGAGAUAUAGUCUAAUUAUUUGUAUAGUUUGGUUGGGGCGAUCAAAGAAGAGUAGAUCUUCUUUGUAAUUUAAAACUAUGAGUUUAAAAGAGACCCAAAAUUUUUUGGUUAAGUGAAUAAGUUACUAAAGGGAUAACAGCGUAAUCUUUUCAAAGAGUUCUUAUCGAAGAAAAGGAUUGCGACCUCGAUGUUGACUUGCUUUUUCCUAAAUAAAGUGCAGGAGCUGNUAAGGGUUGGNUCUGUUCGACCAUUA
Molecule: ribosomal RNA, 528 nt
Filed under: Micrura chlorapardalis
Lineage: Eukaryota; Metazoa; Nemertea; Pilidiophora; Heteronemertea; Lineidae
Description: partial 16S ribosomal RNA
Rfam family: Bacterial large subunit ribosomal RNA
Source: RNAcentral